This 909-nucleotide ribosomal RNA is filed under the name uncultured bacterium. Its description in RNAcentral is "bacterial SSU rRNA". It matches the Rfam family "Bacterial small subunit ribosomal RNA", at positions 33 to 933 of the family's 1533-position model. The record is from RNAcentral.
ACGCUAGCUAUAGGCUUAACACAUGCAAGUCGAGGGGAAACGGCAUUAUGUGCUUGCACAUUUUGGACGUCGACCGGCGCACGGGUGAGUAUCGCGUAUCCAACCUGCCCUUUACUUGGGGAUACCCCGUUGAAAGACGGCCUAAUACCCGAUGUAAUUCAUCGAUGGCAUCAGAUAUGAAUAAAAGAUUUAUCGGUAAAGGAUGGGGAUGCGUCUGAUUAGCUUGUUGGUGAGGUAACGGCUCACCAAGGCGACGAUCAGUAGGGGUUCUGAGAGGAAGGUCCCCCACAUUGGAACUGAGACACGGUCCAAACUCCUACGGGAGGCAGCAGUGAGGAAUAUUGGUCAAUGGGCGCAAGCCUGAACCAGCCAAGUAGCGUGCAGGAAGACGGCCCUAUGGGUUGUAAACUGCUUUUAUACGAGAAUAAUUUGAUGCACGUGUGCGUUAUUGCAUGUAUCGUAUGAAUAAGGACCGGCUAAUUCCGUGCCAGCAGCCGCGGUAAUACGGAAGGUCCAGGCGUUAUCCGGAUUUAUUGGGUUUAAAGGGAGUGUAGGCGGUUUGUUAAGCGUGUUGUGAAAUUUAGGUGCUCAACAUUUAACUUGCAGCGCGAACUGUCAGACUUGAGUACACGCAACGUAUGCGGAAUUCAUGGUGUAGCGGUGAAAUGCUUAGAUAUCAUGAAGAACUCCGAUUGCGAAGGCAGCAUACGGGAGUGUAACUGACGCUUAAGCUCGAAGGUGCGGGUAUCGAACAGGAUUAGAUACCCUGGUAGUCCGCACAGUAAACGAUGGAUGCCCGCUGUUAGCGCCUGGCGUUAGCGGCUAAGCGAAAGCAUUAAGCAUCCCACCUGGGGAGUACGCCGGCAACGGUGAAACUCAAAGGAAUUGACGGGGGCCCGCACAAGCGGA